RNAcentral lists this long non-coding RNA (8705 nucleotides) under Homo sapiens (human). Its description in RNAcentral is "HSALNT0360042". The record is from RNAcentral. Lineage: Eukaryota; Metazoa; Chordata; Mammalia; Primates; Hominidae.
UUGGUGCCCGGCCAUGCCCCAUCGAUGAAGUCCUCUGGGGCACACAGACUGAGGCUGGCAGGGACGAACUUUCUAAAGCACCACAAAGUUCCUUGGCCCCCACACAACGUCUGGCCCCAAAGCCUUCAUUUCUCAGAUAAACAAAGACAAUCCAGCCCAACUUCCAACCUGGCCACCGGCCAACAGGCACUUGGGUUCAAGACUGAUUUUGUUGAAACAGCUGAAUGUGCACCAGGCAGACCCGGCCCUUCUGCUCUGGAUCCCUUCUCUCUGUCUCUGGCUGAAGACGAGAGCAUCCUGGGGUCGGGACUCUUAAUCCUCCUAACCUAAGGGAGGAUGUGCGCCUGACACAGGGCCAAGGCCCCCCGACACCCUGAUGCGCGGCCCCGGGCCCAUCUGGAAUGUUCAGAAAUGCUGCCAUCUUGUGGCGCCUGCAGGCCGGAGCAAGGCACCUUCCGGCUGAUCUUGAAGUUGAUUCCUAGAAGAUGUUGCUCCAAAUAAGCACACACAGACUGUGUGCAUUUGCAUUGCCACAUGCUAAGCCGCCUAUACCACCCACUCACUGCUACCCCAGGUGUGUUAUCUGCUUUGGGCCAGCCUGAGGUAAAACUGUCAACACUGAAAAUCAUUACCUUUGGCACCUCCCAGCUCUCCGGAAGUUAUCUGGUCUGUAGACAACAAGUCCCUGAGGGAAGUGGGUGGGGCACAGGGCAGGUAAGUUUUGACAGAAAAGGAAACUGGGCACAAAGUCUAAGGUGCUACAACAACAACAACAACAACAACAACAACAACAAAAAGAUGGGCCCUACAGGAGCCUGCUGAGCACAGAGUUACUGAGUUGAGCUGUUGGAAUCACAGUGGUAAGGGGCCCUCCCCGCUGGUGCAACAAGACACAACAGAGUGUAGUUAUUGUGCACUUGGACCCUCGGGUUAGCUAACCUGAGUUUGAGUCCCCAUUCCACCACUUGGUAGCUUUGUGACCCUGGUGAAGUUGCUUAACCUCUCUGUGCCUCCAUGUUUUCAACUAUAGAAUGAGGGAAAUAAGUUGUAAUUACCACAAAGGAUAGUUUUAAGGAUUCAGUGAUAUUUGUAAAAUAUUUAUAUAGUGUUGGUGCAUUAUAAUUGUUAAAUAAAAAUUAAAUCAAAUGUUGUGUAGAUUUGGAAGCAGGAUUAAUUUAUCCCGUACCUAUUUUAUUCAGCACCCUUGCCCAGUGCUAGGUGUCAGAGGUGCAGAAAUGGAGUUCCAAUUGUGGCAUAUAUACAGUUACUAGGGAGCAGAGGUGAAGGCAGGCUGAGGUUUAAGCAACUACCUUAUUAUUCCCCAGCUGUGAAGCCCUGGCAAAUGUCCGUUCCCCAUCCUGAGUCUGUUUCCCCAUCUUUGUGUUACUGGUGGAGGAUGUCCAGGUUCUUGUUGUUUUGAACAAAGAAUUGGACAAAAUGCACAAACGAAAGAAUGAAGCACCAAAGCAGAUUUAUUCAAAGGAAAGUACACUCCACAGAGUGUACUCUACAGAGUGGGAGCGGGCUUCAGCAAGUGGCUCAAGAGUGCUGGUUACAGAACUUUCUGGGGUUUUAAUACCCUCUAGAGGAUUCUCAUUGGCUACUUGAUUUACACCCUGUGUAAAUGAAGUGGUGGCCCGUGACCAGUCUGAUUGGUCAUGGAAGGUGAAGUUACAUCCAACGCAAAUGAAAUUACAAAGUUACAUCCUAUGCAAAUGUCUGAUUGAUUGUGGGAGGGGACCAGAGACUGAAGUGAAGUUACAAAGUUUCACCUGUAUGCAAAUGAAGACUAGGCCCGCAACAGGACUUUCCAUUUUUUCAUCUAUGACAUAGAAAGCAGGGAGUGCAAAGGGAGUAGCCUCUGAUCGUUUUGUUACUUGAACAUGGAAAGUUGGGGUUUUCCUUUCAAUUCAGUUCCAGGAAGUCAGUGCAAAUCAGCCUUAGGUUCCCUGCCCCCACACCCCAUUCUCCUGUCUCAUUUGAAAUGAGGGUAUUGGACUAUGACAGUGUUUCUUCAUCCUGGCUCCUCAUUCAAAUCACCUAGGGGGCUUUUAAAAACUAUCAACACUGGGCCUUACACUUUCCCACUCUGACACUGAUAAUAUUUAGUCAACAAAUAUUAUGUGAGAAUCCAGGCUGGGAACAGUUUCUGCUAGGCACUGGGCUCCCUCUGGGGUAGAGUUAGAGGAUGUCAUCCUGUCCUUGAAAUAGUCUCAGCCCAUGGAGAAGUGCAAGUAUGCAGGCAACUUACUGAACACAAGUGGAGACUGAGGCAUGUCAUGAAAGAAAUCUAUACCAGGACUCAGAAGGGAAGGCAGAGGCAAGAGAUGGCUCUUCCACCUUGGAGGUGGGGUUGAAACUGUUGCAGGUAGCACCUGAGUUAGCCAGAAAAAAAUAAGGGCAGAGGGGACAGUUUCUCCCAAGACUUCCUAGCCCAUCCACAUGAGAAAAUCAAAUUGAGCCUUUAUUACCACACAUUUUUAAUAAAGGAAAGAGAUAGAUAACAAAGAAGGAAGUAGAAACUCGCACAGUCUGCCAUCCCAGCAUCCAUCCUGGGUCCCAAGGCAGGGUGCUCUUCUGGUCGAGGGGUUCAGUCCCAGGAGGGUUACAGCAGAUGCUGGAUGCGGUAUUAGUGACCUCUCCCGGACCACAGUCCCAUGCCUGCUGGGACCCUAUUUCUCCAAAGCAAAAAGCCAAAGGACUGAAAGUGCACAGGUCACUUCUGCCCACAAUCAUUGGUGAGAACUAACUAAACACAGCCAGCUCCUGGCACACCAGUUAAGCAAGCGGCCUCUGCAGCUCAGCACAUACUUGGGACAUAUGCUUCCCGCUUAUAGCUCUUGCAGUUCAACAACACAAUUCAUGCUUCCUCUUUCCCCAUCUCCCAGGUGAGAACAUCACAAAUAGAACUUUCAAGAAUGCAGUCUAUGGGGAUGAGGAAAGGCUUUGUAGAGGAGGUAGCGUGAAGGGUGGUGGGGCCCAAAGGACCAAUGUAUAGGCUGUAUGCUGUUUGCCGAAUUUCUCAGCUCUUUGCCAUCCAUGCUAGGCUUGUAUUUCCUUUGUUGUCCCUGUGUAGCCUUGUGGUUAGUUCUGACCAAUGCGUGUGGGCAGACGUGACCUGUGUCACUUUUGGGCCAGAGCACUAGACCCUCCAAAGCCCUCUCAUUCUCUCUGAUACAGUGACUAUAUUGUUUGAAAUGAUAGCUGCUCUGCCACUCUAGGCCCCUCCGUGAUUACGAUGAACAGAACCCCCUGCCAACCAUGAUGAACUUGGAGGAUGGGCAAAGAGAUAAAUCAUGUUAUUUUAAGUCACUGUGUUUGGGGGCUGUUUGUUACUAUAGCAUAGCUUAGCCCAUUCUGACUGAUACAAUGGUCAUGAUUUAGAUGAAUGACUGGCUAUCAGAGAAGAAGAUGUGAUUUUGAACCAGUCACGUUUCUUCUCUGGUCUUCACUUUUCUCUUGACAUGGUGACAUCGUCCUGGAAGGCUGAGCCUACACUCAGAAAGGAGGGAAAAGAAAGAGUCGCAUGCAACUUUUAUACAAUAGGUCCACAUAGACCUCUGUGUGUCUUUUCACACUAACCUGAGGAAAUGGAAGAGCAGGUGAACUUUCCACUUGUUGAGGUUGGAGAAGGAUGACUCCUCUGCGUUCCUGGUUUCCCACUUCAUCCCCACCCCACUACGCUUUCAUGCCUGGCACCAAUUGUACAUGUUCAAGCAAUAGUUUCCAUCUCCGGAUGUUCAUCAGAAAGGUGGGUAGAGCUAUUUUUAUUUCACCUUUUUACAAACUAAAAAUUUAUUUACACAUUUUAAGACAAAUUCAGGGCUCUGCCACAGUCUGAGUUUAGAUUCACUCAAGAGUCCAUAGUCUACAAUGACAGCCUUGUACAGAGAAAACUGACACUUACCACAAUGGCCCUGCAUUGGGGUAAAGUCCUAAAAUGUCUUCAGAAAAUGAAAGAAAGAUACAAUUGUAUGUGAAAUAUCUUUAGUGAUUGAAGGAAUCUUAGAAAUCAUCUAGUUCAACACUUUCAGGUUACAAAUGAGAAGAAAUGAAACCCAGAAAGAGAAAGGAAAUGACUUACUUCCUCAGAGUGCUUGGGAGGUAGGUCCUCUGUCUUCUGGGACAGAGGGAAGAGGCUUGCCAGGUGCCCACUGACUCAGGUCCAGGACAGUGGCACACGUUUGUAUGUUGUUGUUAAACUGACUUUACCAGUCCCCAUGGGCUGGCGAGGCUUAGAGCGUUUUGGGUGAUAAAACAGGAAUACGUCCCCGUUUUAUUGAUUAAGGCACCAAAGCUCACAGAGAGUUCAAUGCCACGGCCAAAGUGUUAGGGCUAAUCAAAGGCAGAGCUGGGGCCAGGCUGUGUUCAUUUCCUACGUGGCUGUAACAAAUUACCACUGACUUAGUGGCUGAACACAACAUACAUUUCGUAUCUUCCAAGAGCCAGACCCGGGUCUCACUGGGCUAGUCAGGAUGCCAGCAGGGCUGUGUUCCUUCCAGAGGCUGCCGGCUAAAAACCAUUCCCUUGCCUUCUCAAUCUUCUAGCAGCCACCCGCAUUCCUUGGCUCAUGGCUUCCUUCUUCCAUCUUCAAAACCAACUAUGUUGCUUCUCUUGGACAGCUCUUCUGUGGUCACAUCUCUCUCUAACUGCAGUCAGGAAAGGGUCUCCCCUUUUAAGGACUCGUGUGAUUAGAGUGUGAUCACCAGAUAAUCCAGGGUAAUCUCACCAUGUUAUGGUCCUUAACCUUAAGCACACCUACAAAGUCCCUUGUGCCACGUUAAGGUAACAUAUGAACAGGUUCCAGGGAAUUAGUCAGGCACAUCUUUGAGGGCUCCCAAUUUAGAGCCCUGGGCCAUACACCAGGCUGUGCACCUGCCCUCCUUCCCUCCAUGCCCUCCCGGAUUCCCUUCAAACACAGGGAGUGACUUCACCUCGGGCUACAUCUGCUUCCAAACUGCUCAGCACGGUUCUCACCCAAACCCACCAUUUGAUUCAGAAAUUACAUGCAGGACUAAUUGUUGCUUGAGGCUCCUUAUGAAAUGGGGAUCAUUUAUAACAAAAAAAAAAAAACCCAGCACAAGGCUUCAAGGUAUGAAAUAAAUUGUUCCAGGAGGAGACAACACACACACAACCACAAACAUAUCAUUUGAGCCCAAUACUACACCUCCUACCCAGAAAAGCAAAGGCCUCCUAUUGUUAAAAGGACAGUGAAGGUACGUCUUCUUAUUUUAUUUUUUUAACCCAAUAAUAAAAUGGAGGCAGGAAGAUGAAGCAGAGAUGUUCCAGAUGUUCCAGGUGCUGAGAACAGGGCUGGUUGUGCCCUGAGAAAUCACAGCAAGCUCUCCUCUCUCUGGAUGUCAGCUUCCGCUUGUUUUGAAGGAGGAGAGAGGUUACCUGCAGACUCCUCUCGUGCAACCCUAUGAAGUGGGCAUUCUUCUUACUCACAUUUUCUGCAUGAGGACCUGGAGGCCCAGAGCUUGAGUAAGAUUCCACAGCUUUUCAGAGGCAGAGCUGGGAGACAAACCAAAGCCUGCUGAGCCGGGAAUCUCUGCUGGAACCCUCAGUGUACCUCUCUGAGAUGUUGACAGCACCCCCUACAGCUCUGAACACUUUUGGAGCAUAGCAGGUGCUUGAACAAAUCAUCAAUUGGCCAUUUUGUCAGCAGGAAGAGAAUUCAAGAAGAACACUAGUGAUUAUUCUUUUGAAGAGUUUGAAGAAAAUCCAGAUAAAAGAAGAAGAGUUUAACCAAAUUGGCUAAAGAUACAUAGGCCUUUGAAAAACAGGGAUUUUUAAAAUGAGAAAUGUUUGUCAAUUUUCCAUCAACAAACACUGGAUUAUUACCAGAUUAACAUUCAGUGAUAAUCUACAGUUGAAGAAUGCGACCCAGCACCCACCUAGUUUACCCUGGCUGUCAGGAGACCUCUCAGAUGCCUCCAUUUGGGAGAAAACUGAAUAUGUCAAAGGGCACCAGAUCUGGGAACCAAAGGGGAGAUGAGAACACUUGCGCCCUCUUUAUUUUUGUUGUCAGUAUGAAAUCAGGACUGUCUGGCUCUGUCUGAGGUUUAAAGCAAAUAAACCAAGAUCUGAAUGCUGCAACGGUGAAGGUAGACUGUGCAGGGAAGAGGAGAAGGAUGCCAAUCUUUAGAAGUCCUGGUUGUGCUGCUAUAUCCCUUGCCUGGAAUUGGAGAUUUGUGUGCAGUGUGUAUCUUCUGGUGCUGGUCCUCACCUCAAAGCACCUUGGCCUUUACAUCUGUUCCCAUGGACAGUCCAUGUUUGGUCAAUGUGAAGAACUUAGAGGUGCCAUCGUGCCUUCGGCUGGGGGCAGGGGUUCCCCUUAACCUUGCCAGUGGGGCAGCCUCUGACCUCACUCUUCCCACCCACACACAUUGCCUUUCCCUCCAAACCUUGCUCUUCAAAGAGUCCAGCCGAGCCAUUGUCUGGAUGGUCCAAAUUCUCGAGGUGGCUUGGGGAUACAGGACUCAAACUAAGAGCUGGGGGAGGAGAGAAGUAAAUUUGGCUCCUGACCGGGCCCCCUCAGCCUUCUGGGUGUAUCACAUACCACCCUCAUUUCUCCUGCCCUUUCCAAGCCUGUCCUGUGGGGUCAGGAGAUACAGAAGGGUUGGUGACUAUUAUACAACUUGAUUUUAACAAGACCAACUGUUCUGGGGCAUUACAAAAUACAUAAAAAAUAAAAGUAAAGCUCAAUCUUUGAGGUUGCUACCUGGAAAGUUUUUCUCUGGGUUUGUACUUUGAUUUUUGAGCUGUGCUUUUCUCAAUGCUGCAAAGGAGUUCUUAGGCUAGAUUAAUUUAGCAGUAGGAAGAUCUGGGCAGAAGAGUUAAUGUGUAUACGUGUCAGCUCUCAACCUACCCCCUGAAACUCCCAGCUUCAGAGGUAAGAUAAAAGUCUGCCCCUACCCACAAUUUAGAAGCAGGCUGCCCUGCAAGCCGGAUCCAGUCAACAGAUUUGUUUGCUUCAGCCUGUACACACUGUUGUACAGUGUGUUGAAUCAGUUUCCAACAUUUUUUGAAUCAGGGGCUUUAUAGCAUUUCUUAAGACAUCUGAAGAUCUGGCCACACAGGCCGACAUUUCUCAUAGGAACCACCAGCCUGGGUUGCAUAGAUAGAGCCCCCUAAGUGGUAGGGGGUUGGGGGAGGUUGAAUCUUCUCCUGCUGGGCCUGCAAUCUCUGGUCCACCACAGUCCCAAAGGCCUUUGGUCUUAGACUGCCCACUCCACUUCCAGAUGUUCCUAUCCCGCUCUUGCAGGUCUCUGCACGCUCAGCCUUGGCUGGGCUCAUAGACAAUCCCUGAGUUUUUCCACUUUGUUAUCCAUAGCAUUGGUAUAAGGGUGUCCAAACCCUCAGCUGUGACAACUUUUCAUAGUGGGGAUAGAGAGGAGGCAAGACUGAGGGCCCUGACUCACAAGCCCUCCCAGCUUUUCUGUCCCAAAUAAAGCAAAUGCAUUUUUUCACCUGCUAGAGCCCGAGGGGUUCUCUCUGCCCCCACCCACCUCCUCCUGGAAUACAUAUUUCCUUUCCUCUGAUACCUAAAGUAUUCUGGGGUGAGGAGUAGUUUGCAAGAUUUGGAUUUUUAAAAAUUCUUUCCCAGAUUUGUUGUGUCUAAUUUGGGCUGCAAGCGGUUUUUGGUGUCAAUGACUAACCACUGUUUGGUCUGCACAGCCAUUUCUGUUGAACUUGGAUAGCGCUGAAAGCCCAGUUUCCCCCAAAUAAAGUCUAAAUACAUUUACACAUUUAUUCCCACAUGCAUCUUUGUGUUUCUGCCUGUCUCCUCACACCUCACACAUGUGUGUGGAUGGGAACGUCCUGGAGAGAAAAGGGGCAGGUAACUUAAGCUUCUACUGUGAACUUCAGAAGAGAAAAAACAUCAGCAAGUUGACCCAGUUGGAUGGUAAGAGAUAAAGAUGCUUCCAAGAAAAGGUGUUAGAAUGAGAGUUUGGAUUGGAAUUUGGUUGUUUCCUUGUGAUCUAACAGACAAAUAAUAUCACUAGACAGAAAAAUGGGACAUAAAAUAGAGAGUUUAGGAAAAUAUGUGAAAAAGGUCACUAUCAAAAUUACCCCUCUCCCCAAAUCCAGCUGGGAUUCUUUAUCAAAAUCAGAGCUUUCAGUAGGUUUAAUAUUCACCAGUUUCUGAGACAGUUAUAACAACAGGUGAUGCCGGGCUUUAAUAACACGGAUGAUGACAGUUACCAUUUACAUAUUGACUCCUUUAAUCCUUACAACAACUCCAUAAAAGUGAUAUCUCAUAUACCCAUUUUACAGGCAGGAAAACUGACGCUUAACAUGAUUAAGUAAUUUGACCAAAGCCCGAGAGGUGGAAAGGGAUAGAGCUGGCAUUUAAACCCAUGCUGCCCUCCAGCAUAUCCUGGGCUGGGACAGCAGAAUGGGUACCCUCCUUGCCAGCUGGCUGGAGUAAGAAUCUGACAGACAGCCCACCUUGGUCAUGACUGGCUUGGGGACUGGCACAGUGGAGAGCCCGAGGGAGACAAAUGGCAUAUUUGGCCCACAAUUCCACUGCUAAAAGUGACCCUCAGGGAUGUGCCAUGAGAGUCACUGCCAUGAGAGGACCAGUGGCUCCUCUCCUCUCUGAUGAAAACUUGGACCUUUGGAGAUUAGCCCCACUCUAGGCUAUUUGAUAGAAUGGGCCACAGCCUGGGCAAUUCAGGUGAGUUUUGUUGUUGUUGUUG